AUUGAACGCUGGCGGCAGGCCUAACACAUGCAAGUCGAGCGGAUGAAGGGAGCUUUCUCCUGUAUUCAGCGGCGGACGGGUGAGUAAUUCCUAGGAAUCUGCCUUGUAUUGGGGGAUAACGUCCGGAAACGGGCGCUAAUACCGCAUACGUCCUGAUGGAGAAAGUGGGGGAUCUUCGGACCUCACGCUAUCAGAUGAGCCUAGUUCGGAUUAGCUAGUUGGUGGGGUAAAGGCCUACCAAGGCGACGAUCCGUAACUGGUCUGAGAGGAUGAUCAGUCACACUGGAACUGAGACACGGUCCAGACUCCUACGGGAGGCAGCAGUGGGGAAUAUUGGACAAUGGGCGAAAGCCUGAUCCAGCAAUGCCGCGUGUGUGAAGAAGGUCUUCGGAUUGUAAAGCACUUUAAGUUGGGAGGAAGGGCAGUAAGUUAAUACCUUGCUGUUUUGACGUUACCAAAAGAAUAAGCAUCGGCUAACUUCGUG
This 484-nucleotide ribosomal RNA is filed under the name uncultured bacterium. Its description in RNAcentral is "partial 16S ribosomal RNA". It matches the Rfam family "Bacterial small subunit ribosomal RNA", at positions 30 to 507 of the family's 1533-position model. The record is from RNAcentral.